UCCAGACGGGUUGAAGAAAUCGCCCGAAAGGAACCACUUGGCAGAUUUUGUUUCCUCCCUUGAAAUCCCACUGGACGUGGAGCAGAGCAUUCACUUGAAGACGCCGGAGGACGAUUUGCAGAAGGAUAUAGUAUGAUUAAGAAAACUGGAGAGGAAGAGCACAAAGAAAAAGUUCUGGUUGCAAUCCUUUUCUACACGUGAAAGUAAUAUGCCUAACUUAACGUGUAGGGCUUUUCCAACAGAGAUGUUGAAGUUAAUUGCAGUAUGAAUCGGGGAAAAAAAUGCUCGUACCUUCUUAAUUGCAGCUUUCACCAACAUGUGGUAUGU
Non-coding RNA from Struthio camelus australis, 327 nucleotides. The record is from RefSeq and is a predicted model, not a curated record. Lineage: Eukaryota; Metazoa; Chordata; Aves; Struthioniformes; Struthionidae.